RNAcentral lists this ribosomal RNA (497 nucleotides) under uncultured bacterium. Its description in RNAcentral is "partial 16S ribosomal RNA". It matches the Rfam family "Bacterial small subunit ribosomal RNA", at positions 28 to 507 of the family's 1533-position model. The record is from RNAcentral.
GAUGAACGCUGGCGGCGUGCCUAAUACAUGCAAGUCGAGCGAACAGACGAGGAGCUUGCUCCUCUGACGUUAGCGGCGGACGGGUGAGUAACACGUGGAUAACCUACCUAUAAGACUGGGAUAACUUCGGGAAACCGGAGCUAAUACCGGAUAAUAUAUUGAACCGCAUGGUUCAAUAGUUAAAGACGGUUUUGCUGUCACUUAUAGAUGGAUCCGCUCCGCAUUAGCUAGUUGGUAAGGUAACGGCUUACCAAGGCAACGAUGCGUAGCCGACCUGAGAGGGUGAUCGGCCACACUGGAACUGAGACACGGUCCAGACUCCUACGGGAGGCAGCAGUAGGGAAUCUUCCGCAAUGGGCGAAAGCCUGACGGAGCAACGCCGCGUGAGUGAUGAAGGUCUUCGGAUCGUAAAACUCUGUUAUUAGGGAAGAACAAAUGUGUAAGUAACUAUGCACGUCUUGACGGUACCUAAUCAGAAAGCCACGGCUAACUACGUG